This 468-nucleotide ribosomal RNA is filed under the name uncultured bacterium. RNAcentral describes it as "partial 16S ribosomal RNA". It matches the Rfam family "Bacterial small subunit ribosomal RNA", at positions 28 to 507 of the family's 1533-position model. The record is from RNAcentral.
GACGAACGCUGGCGGCGUGCUUAACACAUGCAAGUCGAACGGAAAGGCCCUGCUUUUGUGGGGUGCUCGAGUGGCGAACGGGUGAGUAACACGUGAGUAGCCUGCCCUUGACUUUGGGAUAACUUCAGGAAACUGGGGCUAAUACCGGAUAGGAGCUCCUGCUGCAUGGUGGGGGUUGGAAAGUUUCGGCGGUUGGGGAUGGACUCGCGGCUUAUCAGCUUGUUGGUGGGGUAGUGGCUUACCAAGGCUUUGACGGGUAGCCGGCCUGAGAGGGUGACCGGCCACAUUGGGACUGAGAUACGGCCCAGACUCCUACGGGAGGCAGCAGUGGGGAAUAUUGCACAAUGGGCGGAAGCCUGAUGCAGCAACGCCACGUGCGGGAUGACGGCCUUCGGGUUGUAAACCGCUUUCGCCUGUGACGAAGCGUGAGUGACGGUAAUGGGUAAAGAAGCACCGGCUAACUACGUG